This 480-nucleotide ribosomal RNA is filed under the name uncultured Enterobacter sp. RNAcentral describes it as "bacterial SSU rRNA". It matches the Rfam family "Bacterial small subunit ribosomal RNA", at positions 56 to 525 of the family's 1533-position model. Lineage: Bacteria; Pseudomonadati; Pseudomonadota; Gammaproteobacteria; Enterobacterales; Enterobacteriaceae. The record is from RNAcentral.
UGCAAGUCGAGCGGCAGCGGAAAGUAGCUUGCUACUUUGCCGGCGAGCGGCGGACGGGUGAGUAAUGUCUGGGAAACUGCCUGAUGGAGGGGGAUAACUACUGGAAACGGUAGCUAAUACCGCAUAACGUCGCAAGACCAAAGAGGGGGACCUUCGGGCCUCUUGCCAUCAGAUGUGCCCAGAUGGGAUUAGCUAGUAGGUGGGGUAACGGCUCACCUAGGCGACGAUCCCUAGCUGGUCUGAGAGGAUGACCAGCCACACUGGAACUGAGACACGGUCCAGACUCCUACGGGAGGCAGCAGUGGGGAAUAUUGCACAAUGGGCGCAAGCCUGAUGCAGCCAUGCCGCGUGUAUGAAGAAGGCCUUCGGGUUGUAAAGUACUUUCAGCGGGGAGGAAGGCGAUAAGGCUAAUAACCUUGUCGAUUGACGUUACCCGCAGAAGAAGCACCGGCUAACUCCGUGCCAGCAGCCGCGGUAAUA